Long non-coding RNA from Hirundo rustica (Barn swallow), 861 nucleotides. RefSeq lists it as uncharacterized. The transcript has 5 exons. NCBI's taxonomy places the organism in Eukaryota, Metazoa, Chordata, Aves, Passeriformes, Hirundinidae. The record is from RefSeq and is a predicted model, not a curated record.
ACUAGCUCUAUUUCCAACAGUUCCAAGGCCUGUGCCGUCUGCCUUAGACAGAACAGUUGCAGCAAAUAAGGGGGAAGUAUGGAGCACAGGUUAGUAGGAAUCAGAGUGGGGUUUGAUCUUAAGAGGAUUUCAAUUUAAGAUUAUGAAGUUUAGGGAGCCAAGAUAGGAUGUGGGCUGAAAUCCUUGUAUAGAGAAGAGCAAAGAGAAGACUGGGAAGGCAGAGAUCCUAGCUGUGAGAGUGAUGAACACUCCUCCAAAUGAUUUGACAAACACUGCUGCUUAUUACCCAAAAUGACAUUACUUCGUGAAAUGCUUUGCCCUAAGCCUUCUGAGACUGCCACUGCAGAAUUGUGCAGUUUCUGCUCAUCGGUGUUCCCCAAAGACUGACCAAUGUGAUGGUGCCAUCAAUACCAUAAUCUGGAUAUAAGUGGCCUGUAGUGCUGUGUGAAGUUGGAUAAGAAAAUGCAUUUAAUAAUUCAGUUCAAUGCUGUCAAAGAAGAAUUUUACACUGAGGAAUAACCAAAGGAGAUGAUUUGUUGGUAAAAGCCAAGGGCUUCAUGUUCCCCAAAAAUCUAAGAACAAGUGAAGACAUGGGAGUCACCUAUUUUAACAAAGCUGAUGAUGCUCGCCUGGAGCUACAUCCAAUGUUUCAAUGGCCUUCUGAAGUUCUACAGUGGAAUCUUGUGAAUCAAGCAAUACAACUAAGAAGAUAAAGAAAACAAAAAUCCUUGUACUUUGUCACACUGGAAUUACAACUAUACCAGUUUAUCUUGCUAUCUUAAGCAUACAAAAAGUACUAUGUAGAUUAUUUUAUUGCCAUUAAUGGAAAACCAAUGAGUUCUGAUUACAAAUCUGAGUUCU